RNAcentral lists this long non-coding RNA (1036 nucleotides) under Homo sapiens (human). RNAcentral's name for it is "non-protein coding lnc-MFSD8-7:2". The record is from RNAcentral. Lineage: Eukaryota; Metazoa; Chordata; Mammalia; Primates; Hominidae.
GCGGCGACGGCGGCCAAGGGCCUGGGCGGGCCGCGCACAUGGCGCUGGGAGGACCGAGCGCUCGAUUUGCCCUUAGGCCCUAAAGCUGGGUCGCAGCUAGGCUAAGGGAGGGGACGCGGUGUCGACCCCCGGCCUGGGGCAGCUCCCAAGUGAAGUGGGCUCCGCGGCCCGGCCGCUUGGCCCGCUGGCGCCCGGCGCCUCCCCCAGGUGAAAGUUGCCUCCUGGCGCCUCGGGGCACCGCGAUCACCUGUAAUCUUGAGCCACGUCCCAGAUGAAGGGGGAGUUACCUCUCGGUAACUGUUUAGGAAACCUUUGCCCCAGCGUUCGGCUUAGUGCGCUUCCCCGCCCGCAUUCCCACCCACCAACUAAAAGAGUUCUAAAGCGUUCCUGAGUAAAUUAAAUAGUAUUUCGCCGGCUUUUAAAAUUUUUUGUUACCUGUUUCUUUAAUUUGGGUAAAUAGCACUUAAUUACAAAUUAACCAUAUUCCCAAUAGGUUUUUUCUUCCUGGAAUGGAUGUUAAAAUGGUACAAAGACGUUUUGAUAAUAAAUCGGAUACGAGCUUUCUACUUGGCACUCACAUUCACUUAGAGAUGAUACUCGUUUCAUUUUUGAGUCAGUGUUUGUGUCCUGGUGCAAGGUGGCUGAGAGCAGGUUCCGCCGCUGAUUUUUUUCCGAGCCCCCCACCAACCCCAUAGCCUUGUUAAAUAAAUUAUCUGUGCUCGCCUUAUGUUUGGGCUUUCAACCCCCACCCCCCACCCCACGCCCAAUAAGUCGCUUCAAUUACAUUCAACUUGACGUUAAUAUUUUUUGCUUACUCAAAAGCCGUAUUCGGCACAAAUAAUUUUCCUAAGGCUAAUAACCUAUUCAUACAUAACAGCUAUAAACAAUAAGGGUUUUCUUGUUUUCCGUGUCAGUGAUCUCCAGUUUGCCCAACCCUAAGCAACCUGGCGAACCUUGUUGCAAUUAAAAGGGGAUUGUACUUCCACCUAUAUUCCCAUCCAUCUUUACUAGCUCUGUUAUUAGUGGCGCUUUGUAU